Molecule: unclassified non-coding RNA, 329 nt
Filed under: soil metagenome
Description: partial contains 5.8S ribosomal RNA, internal transcribed spacer 2, and large subunit ribosomal RNA
Rfam family: 5.8S ribosomal RNA (bases 1-120)
Source: RNAcentral
GAUGAAGAACGUAGCGAAAUGCGAUAAGUAAUGUGAAUUGCAGAAUUCAGUGAAUCAUCGAAUCUUUGAACGCACAUUGCGCCCCUUGGUAUUCCGAGGGGCAUGCCUGUUCGAGCGUCAUUAUAACCCCUCAAGCUCAGCUUGGUGUUGGGGCCUGCUGCACUGGCAGCCCUUAAAAUCAGUGGCGGCGCCAUCUGGCUCUAAGCGUAGUAAUUCUUCUCGCUAUGGAGUCCUGGUGGAUGCUUGCCAUCAACCCCCAAUUUUUCUAUGGUUGACCUCGGAUCAGGUAGGGAUACCCGCUGAACUUAAGCAUAUCAAUAAGCGGAAGA